GGGUUGUGAGGUUAAGCGACUAAGCGUACACGGUGGAUGCCCUGGCAGUCAGAGGCGAUGAAGGACGUGCUAAUCUGCGAUAAGCGCCGGUAAGGUGAUAUGAACCGUUAUAACCGGCGAUUUCCGAAUGGGGAAACCCAGUGUGAUUCGUCACACUAUCAUUAACUGAAUCCAUAGGUUAAUGAGGCGAACCGGGGGAACUGAAACAUCUAAGUACCCCGAGGAAAAGAAAUCAACCGAGAUUCCCCCAGUAGCGGCGAGCGAACGGGGAGGAGCCCAGAGCCUGAAUCAGCAUGUGUGUUAGUGGAAGCGUCUGGAAAGGCGCGCGAUACAGGGUGACAGCCCCGUACACAAAAGCGCAUGUGCUGUGAGCUCGAUGAGUAGGGCGGGACACGUGGUAUCCUGUCUGAAUAUGGGGGGACCAUCCUCCAAGGCUAAAUACUCCUGACUGACCGAUAGUGAACCAGUACCGUGAGGGAAAGGCGAAAAGAACCCCGGCGAGGGGAGUGAAAAAGAACCUGAAACCGUGUACGUACAAGCAGUGGGAGCACAGGUUUACCUGUGUGACUGCGUACCUU
This 578-nucleotide ribosomal RNA is filed under the name Salmonella enterica subsp. enterica serovar Typhimurium. RNAcentral describes it as "partial 23S ribosomal RNA". It matches the Rfam family "Bacterial large subunit ribosomal RNA", at positions 1 to 607 of the family's 2925-position model. Lineage: Bacteria; Pseudomonadati; Pseudomonadota; Gammaproteobacteria; Enterobacterales; Enterobacteriaceae. The record is from RNAcentral.